This 377-nucleotide transfer-messenger RNA is filed under the name bacterium. It matches the Rfam family "transfer-messenger RNA". Rfam says of the family: Bacterial tmRNA, also known as 10Sa RNA or SsrA, is named for its dual tRNA and mRNA-like properties. Its role is to liberate the mRNA from a stalled ribosome. To accomplish this part of the tmRNA is used as a reading frame that ends in a translation stop signal. The record is from RNAcentral.
GGGAGUGACAGGCUUAGACAAUAUAAUCAGUAGUUUGCACGCAAGAGAGAAGUGGAGACCUUCUUUAAAAAACUCCAAACCAUAACUGCAAAAUCAGUUAGCUCACCGUAUUUUUCGGUGAAUGAUCUUUCGUUCGCCACUGCGCGAGCCUAAGGUCCAUCCGCUCCAGAGCGCUCGAGUAUGGAGGCCGGGUGUUAUAUAUCGGGCUUUGGCUAGCAGAACCGCUUCGUCCGCUGGUUGAGCUAAAGAAGCUGCCGUCCGAUCUUAUUUCGUCUACUUCUUACAAUCGGACCUAAGCACCAAAAAGUAGCCUACCUCUUGUAGACCUGCCCACUACCUCGUAUUGCACGGCGGUUCAACUCCGCCCACUUCCACUC